This 403-nucleotide long non-coding RNA is filed under the name Oryza brachyantha (malo sina). Its description in RNAcentral is "long non-coding RNA (OBRA_LNC000296)". Lineage: Eukaryota; Viridiplantae; Streptophyta; Magnoliopsida; Poales; Poaceae. The record is from RNAcentral.
UGCCUGAAGUGGCCGCUCCCCUCCCGCGGGCUCCUCGACUGCCCUCCUCCCAUCUCAACCAGAUCCCGCGCAGAACAAAAAAAAGAACCAAAUCCAAUCGAUCGACCAAAUCACCCAACCCUCUUCCGCGUAUAUCUACUUCGGGUGCGAACGCGGCGGCGGCGGUGGCGGUGGCUGAGCCGAGUCGACGGCCGCGGGCUACGACGACGACGACGACCAAGGUGAGUACGCAACGCAACCGCUCGCGGCGCCGCCUCCGCGGCUUGGUUUUGGGGUGGAAGAGACGCGGAGGCUUCGAGUCUCCUUCGCCCGCGCCUCGGCGUGAGCUGGUUGUUGGUUGGUUGGACGCUUCUGCACUGCAGCGCGGUGGUGGUGGUGGUGUCACGGGGCAAGGGGAACGAAA